GAUGAACGCUGGCGGUAUGCUUAACACAUGCAAGUCGAACGGACUCUUCGGAGUUAGUGGCGGACGGGUGAGUAACGCGUGAGAAUCUGGCUUUGGGUUCGGGACAACCACUGGAAACGGUGGCUAAUACCGGAUGUGCCGAGAGGUAAAAGAGAAAUUGCCUGAAGAUGAGCUCGCGUCUGAUUAGCUAGUUGGUGAGGUAAAGGCUCACCAAGGCAGCGAUCAGUAGCUGGUCUGAGAGGAUGACCAGCCACACUGGGACUGAGACACGGCCCAGACUCCUACGGGAGGAAGCAGUGGGGAAUUUUCCGCAAUGGGCGAAAGCCUGACGGAGCAAUACCGAGUGAGGGAAGAAGGCUCUUGGGUUGUAAACCUCUUUUCUUAGGGAAGAACAAAAUGACGGUACCUAAGGAAUCAGCAUCGGCUAACUCCGUG
RNAcentral lists this ribosomal RNA (435 nucleotides) under uncultured bacterium. RNAcentral's name for it is "partial 16S ribosomal RNA". It matches the Rfam family "Bacterial small subunit ribosomal RNA", at positions 28 to 507 of the family's 1533-position model. The record is from RNAcentral.